This 262-nucleotide ribosomal RNA is filed under the name uncultured bacterium. RNAcentral describes it as "partial 16S ribosomal RNA". It matches the Rfam family "Bacterial small subunit ribosomal RNA", at positions 793 to 1055 of the family's 1533-position model. The record is from RNAcentral.
GUCCACGCCGUAAACGUUGGGCACUAGGUGUGGGGAGGAAUCAACCCUUUCCGUGCCGUAGCUAACGCAUUAAGUGCCCCGCCUGGGGAGUACGGCCGCAAGGCUAAAACUCAAAGGAAUUGACGGGGGCCCGCACAAGCGGCGGAGCAUGUUGCUUAAUUCGAGGCAACGCGAAGAACCUUACCUGGGUUUGACAUGUACGGAAAAGCCAUAGAGAUAUGGUGUCCUUUUGGGCCGUAUACAGGUGGUGCAUGGCUGUCGU